AUUGAACGCUGGCGGCAUGCCUAACACAUGCAAGUCGAACGGCAGCACGGGAGCUUGCUCCUGGUGGCGAGUGGCGGACGGGUGAGUAAUGCAUAGGAAUCUGCCCAGUAGCGGGGGACAACUUGGGGAAACUCAAGCUAAUACCGCAUGCGCCCUACGGGGGAAAGCGGGGGACCUUCGGGCCGUCGCACUAUUGGAUGAGCCUAUGUCAGAUUAGCUUGUUGGUGGGGUAACGGGCCUACCAAGGCGACGAUCUGUAGCUGGUCUGAGAGGACGAUCAGCCACACUGGGACUGAGACACGGCCCAGACUCCUACGGGAGGCAGCAGUGGGGAAGUAUUGCACAAUAGGGCGGAAAGACCUGAUGCAGCAAUGCGCGUGUGUGAAGAAGGA
This 392-nucleotide ribosomal RNA is filed under the name uncultured bacterium. RNAcentral describes it as "bacterial SSU rRNA". It matches the Rfam family "Bacterial small subunit ribosomal RNA", at positions 29 to 415 of the family's 1533-position model. The record is from RNAcentral.